GAUGAAGAACGCAGCGAAAUGCGAUAAGUAAUGCGAAUUGCAGAAUUUCCGUGAGUCAUCGAAUCUUUGAACGCACAUUGCGCCCGCCAGUAUUCUGGCGGGCAUGCCUGUUCGAGCGUCAUUUCAACCCUCAAGCCCGCUGCGUGCUUGGUGUUGGGGACCGGCCCGCCCGCCUCGCGGCGGCGGCCGCCCCUGAAAUGAAUUGGCGGUCUCGCCGCAGCCUCCUUUGCGUAGUAGCACACCACCUCGCAACCGGGAGCGCGGCGCGGCCACUGCCGUAAAACGCCCAACUUCUCCAAGAGUUGACCUCGAAUCAGGUAGGAAUACCCGCUGAACUUAAGCAUAUCAAUAAGCGGAGGA
RNAcentral lists this unclassified non-coding RNA (360 nucleotides) under soil metagenome. RNAcentral's name for it is "partial contains 5.8S ribosomal RNA, internal transcribed spacer 2, and large subunit ribosomal RNA". The stretch from base 1 to 121 matches the Rfam family "5.8S ribosomal RNA", at positions 35 to 154 of the family's 154-position model. The record is from RNAcentral.